This is a non-coding RNA of Phrynosoma platyrhinos (Desert horned lizard), 72 nucleotides long. The record is from the annotation of a GenBank genome assembly. Lineage: Eukaryota; Metazoa; Chordata; Lepidosauria; Squamata; Phrynosomatidae.
GCCAGUGUGGUGUAGUGUUUUGAGUGUUAGACUAUGACUCAAGAGACCAGGGUUCAAAUCCUUUGCUUGGCC